CAACAGCGUAUAUUAAAGUUGUUGCAGUUAAAACGCUCGUAGUCGGAUUUCGGGGCGGGCGGGCCGGUCUGCCGAUGGGUAUGCACUGGUCUGGCCGUCCUUCCUUCCGGAGACCGUGCGUGCUCUUAACUGAGUGCGCUCGGGAGACGGAUCGUUUACUUUGAAAAAUCAGAGUGUUUCAAGCAGGCAGCUCGCUCUUGCAUGGAUUAGCAUGGGAUAAUGAAAUAGGACUUUGGUGCUAUUUUGUUGGUUUCGAACACCGAAGUAAUGAUUAACAGGGACAGUCAGGGGCACUCGUAUUCCGCCGAGAGAGGUGAAAUUCUCAGACCAGCGGAAGACGAACCACUGCGAAAGCAUUUGCCAGGGAUGUUUNCACUGA
Molecule: ribosomal RNA, 379 nt
Filed under: uncultured eukaryote
Lineage: Eukaryota
Description: partial 18S ribosomal RNA
Rfam family: Eukaryotic small subunit ribosomal RNA
Source: RNAcentral